GCAGGGCACUCCUACGGGGGCAGCAGUGGGGAAUAUUGCACAAUGGGCGCAAGCCUGAUGCAGCCAUGCCGCGUGUAUGAAGAAGGCCUUCGGGUUGUAAAGUACUUUCAGCAGUGAGGAAGGUGGGUAUGUUAAUAGCAUACUCAUUUGACGUUAGCUGCAGAAGAAGCACCGGCUAACUCCGUGCCAGCAGCCGCGGUAAUACGGAGGGUGCGAGCGUUAAUCGGAAUUACUGGGCGUAAAGCGCAUGCAGGUGGUUUGUUAAGUCAGAUGUGAAAGCCCGGGGCUCAACCUCGGAAUUGCAUUUGAAACUGGCAAACUAGAGUACUGUAGAGGGGGUAGAAUUUCAGGUGUAGCGGUGAAAUGCGUAGAGAUCUGAAGGAAUACCGGUGGCGAAGGCGGCCCCCUGGACAGAUACUGACACUCAGAUGCGAAAGCGUGGGGAGCAAACAGGAUUAGAUACCCUGGUG
This 470-nucleotide ribosomal RNA is filed under the name uncultured bacterium. RNAcentral describes it as "bacterial SSU rRNA". It matches the Rfam family "Bacterial small subunit ribosomal RNA", at positions 328 to 792 of the family's 1533-position model. The record is from RNAcentral.